GGCGCGAGUUUUGUAGGAGCAAAGUCCUCCGGUUUCUUGGCUACCCCCCUCUCCAGUUUGGAAUGGGAGGAGCCAGGGUGUCACGUGACCAAGUUUGUCAAGACACGUGACGAGGAACAAGGGGUAGCCUGGUCUUGGAACAGCGUUUAUCUCUGGCGGAGCUCCAGGUAAACCUGGCGAUGGACUGUCAGCAGCCGAGGAUUGAGAUUGUGUCAUUUUGGUCUCAGAUACCUUAGUCUUGAGUGGUGUCCGGCGAUGGGAAAAUGGUAAUUGAGACAGAUUUACACCGAGAGAACACGUCUGUCUCCUCUCUACUCAUCCCUACUCUUUGAAAUAGACACUCUGACACGGUAAAAGGAGAUGGCAACCCCUUCCCGAGCCCAGGCGUGCUGUCGUGGUUAGAACGCUUUAAAAUUGCUGAGAGUUCUUGGUAUUGGAAAUCCUUAAGUAACAUUUUGUUGCCAAACAUGGAAUACUGAAGAGUUUUGGAUACCAAAUCCAGGAAAAAUAAGGGCGUUAGGAAAAGUCCAGGGAAAGCGGACUCAAUGAACAAACUGUUAAGAGUCCUCUCUUACCAUGUCUGGCUGGCGGCGACCCAGAUGCCAUGUGAUGGCCAUUUGAAGACAGGCUUGUCGGACAUCAGGACCGUACACCCCUCCUCCCGACACUGCCCCUCACCGGUGGCCUCUGGCAGGCACAGCACGCCGUCACCCUGCACCCAGCGGUAGCACGGGAACGCGG
Long non-coding RNA from Cervus elaphus (red deer), 741 nucleotides. RefSeq lists it as uncharacterized. The transcript has 3 exons. The record is from RefSeq and is a predicted model, not a curated record. Lineage: Eukaryota; Metazoa; Chordata; Mammalia; Artiodactyla; Cervidae.